AAAGCAGGAUGCAAUUACAGUGCUUCAUUCUGUGGAAGGACUGCCAUUACCCUGCUGACAGCAACAUCCUGCUUCAGAGCAACAGCUUCUCACCUGUGUGGGAUAUAUAGUUUCUGUAGCAGGAACAACU
Small nucleolar RNA from Pangasianodon hypophthalmus (striped catfish), 130 nucleotides. RefSeq annotates it as small nucleolar RNA SNORA69. The record is from RefSeq and is a predicted model, not a curated record. Lineage: Eukaryota; Metazoa; Chordata; Actinopteri; Siluriformes; Pangasiidae. The transcript has a single exon.